Molecule: ribosomal RNA, 492 nt
Filed under: uncultured bacterium
Lineage: Bacteria
Description: partial 16S ribosomal RNA
Rfam family: Bacterial small subunit ribosomal RNA
Source: RNAcentral
AGUGAACGCUGGCGGUAGGCCUAACACAUGCAAGUCGAACGGCAGCACAGUAAGAGCUUGCUCUUACGGGUGGCGAGUGGCGGACGGGUGAGGAAUACAUCGGAAUCUACUUUUUCGUGGGGGAUAACGUAGGGAAACUUACGCUAAUACCGCAUACGACCUACGGGUGAAAGCAGGGGAUCUUCGGACCUUGCGCGAUUGAAUGAGCCGAUGUCGGAUUAGCUAGUUGGCGGGGGAAAGGCCCACCAAGGCGACGAUCCGUAGCUGGUCUGAGAGGAUGAUCAGCCACACUGGAACUGAGACACGGUCCAGACUCCUAAGGGAGGCAGCAGUGGGGAAUAUUGGACAAUGGGCGCAAGCCUGAUCCAGCCAUACCGCGUGGGUGAAGAAGGCCUUCGGGUUGUAAAGCCCUUUUGUUGGGAAAGAAAAGCAGCAGGUUAAUACCCCGCUGUUCUGACGGUACCCAAAGAAUAAGCACCGGCUAACUUCGUG